This 468-nucleotide ribosomal RNA is filed under the name uncultured bacterium. RNAcentral describes it as "partial 16S ribosomal RNA". It matches the Rfam family "Bacterial small subunit ribosomal RNA", at positions 28 to 507 of the family's 1533-position model. The record is from RNAcentral.
GACGAACGCUGGCGGCGUGCUUAACACAUGCAAGUCGAACGGAAAGGCCCUGCUUUUGUGGGGUGCUCGAGUGGCGAACGGGUGAGUAACACGUGAGUAACCUGCCCUUGACUUUGGGAUAACUUCAGGAAACUGGGGCUAAUACCGGAUAGGAGCUCCUGCUGCUUGGUGGGGGUUGGAAAGUUUCGGCGGGUGGGGAUGGACUCGCGGCUUAUCAGCUUGUUGGUGGGGUAGUGGCUUACCAAGGCUUUGACGGGUAGCCGGCCUGAGAGGGUGACCGGCCACAGUGGGACUGAGAUACGGCCCAGACUCCUACGGGAGGCAGCAGUGGGGAAUAUUGCACAAUGGGCGGAAGCCUGAUGCAGCAACGCCGCGUGCGGGAUGACGGCCUUCGGGUUGUAAACCGCUUUCGCCUGUGACGAAGCGUGAGUGACGGUAAUGGGUAAAGAAGCACCGGCUAACUACGUG